UGUACACGCUGUGACUAGCAUAUCAAUAAGCGGAGGAAAAGAAACUAACAAGGAUUCCCUUAGUAACGGCGAGUGAAGCGGGAAGAGCUCAAAUUUGAAAUCUUCAAGGUUUUACCUUGACGAAUUGUAGUUUAAAGAAGUGUUUUCUGCUGAAGUUUUGGUAAAAGUUCUUUGGAAUAGGACAUCAUAGAGGGUGAGAAUCCCGUAUUUGACCAUUAUUUUCAGCUUUGUGAUACACUUUCAAAGAGUCGGGAUUGUUUGGGAAUGCAGUCCCAAAACUGGGAUGGUAAAUUUCAUUCUAAGGCUAAAUAUUGGCGAGAGACCGAUAGCGAACAAGUACCGUGAGGGAAAGAUGAAAAGAACUUUGAAAAGAGAGUUAAACUAGUACGUGAAAUUGUCAAAAGGGAAGCGUUUAACACCAGUGUUGUUUUCUGAAAAUCAACCUCUGUUAGCUUUAUGCAUGUUUGGUUAGACCUAAUCAGCUAUCUUUCAUGUUCUAUUGUUUGCAGUGGUGCACUUUUCAGUUUACAGGUCAACAUCAGUUUUUUUUACCGUAAAAAAGUUAAAGAAAGGUAGCUCAUGGCUCCGGUCCGUGAGUGUUAUAGUCUCUUUCCUAUGCGGUAGGAGAGACUGAGGUCUGCAGUGUAGGCUAUUUGGCUAGAUACUCAGGUGCUAUGUGAUACCAUUUCAUAAACAACUUGUUGAUUAUGUUUUGUCUAUUGCAUACUCGCUUGUACUAUCAUACCUACGCUUAGGAUGUUGAGUAGCGACAUACGCAC
Molecule: ribosomal RNA, 779 nt
Filed under: uncultured Neocallimastigales
Lineage: Eukaryota; Fungi; Neocallimastigomycota; Neocallimastigomycetes; Neocallimastigales
Description: partial large subunit ribosomal RNA
Rfam family: Eukaryotic large subunit ribosomal RNA (bases 5-669)
Source: RNAcentral